RNAcentral lists this transfer RNA (72 nucleotides) under Stegodyphus mimosarum. It matches the Rfam family "tRNA". From Rfam's summary of the family: Transfer RNA (tRNA) molecules are approximately 80 nucleotides in length. Their secondary structure includes four short double-helical elements and three loops (D, anti-codon, and T loops). Further hydrogen bonds mediate the characteristic L-shaped molecular structure. tRNAs have two regions of fundamental functional importance: the anti-codon, which is responsible for specific mRNA codon recognition, and the 3' end, to which the tRNAs corresponding amino acid is attached (by aminoacyl-tRNA synthetases). tRNAs cope with the degeneracy of the genetic code in two manners: having more than one tRNA (with a specific anti-codon) for a particular amino acid; and 'wobble' base-pairing, i.e. permitting non-standard base-pairing at the 3rd anti-codon position. Lineage: Eukaryota; Metazoa; Arthropoda; Arachnida; Araneae; Eresidae. The record is from Rfam by way of RNAcentral.
GCCUUCGUGGUGUAGUGGUCAGCACGCUAGUGCCUAUUCGAAAGAUCCGUGGUUCGAAUCCCGGUGAGGGCA